Molecule: ribosomal RNA, 497 nt
Filed under: uncultured bacterium
Lineage: Bacteria
Description: partial 16S ribosomal RNA
Rfam family: Bacterial small subunit ribosomal RNA
Source: RNAcentral
GACGAACGCUGGCGGCGUGCCUAAUACAUGCAAGUUGAGCGAUGAAGAUUGGUGCUUGCCCCAAUUUGAAGAGCAGCGAACGGGUGAGUAACGCGUGGGGAAUCUGCCUUUGAGCGGGGGACAACAUUUGGAAACGAAUGCUAAUACCGCAUAACAACUUUAAACAUAAGUUUUAAGUUUGAAAGAUGCAAUUGCAUCACUCAAAGAUGAUCCCGCGUUGUAUUAGCUAGUUGGUGAGGUAAAGGCUCACCAAGGCGAUGAUACAUAGCCGACCUGAGAGGGUGGUCGGCCACAUUGGGACUGAGACACGGCCCAAACUCCUACGGGAAGCAGCAGUAGGGAAUCUUCGGCAAUGGACGAAAGUCUGACCGAGCAACGCCGCGGGAGUGAAGAAGGUGUUCGGAUCGUAAAACUCUGUUGGUAGGGAAGAACGUUGGUGAGAGUGGAAAGCUCAUCAAGUGACGGUAACUACCCAGAAAGGGACGGCUAACUACGUG